Long non-coding RNA from Neogale vison (American mink), 845 nucleotides. RefSeq lists it as uncharacterized. The record is from RefSeq and is a predicted model, not a curated record. NCBI's taxonomy places the organism in Eukaryota, Metazoa, Chordata, Mammalia, Carnivora, Mustelidae. The transcript is spliced from 2 exons.
CCCAGGACCCUGGGAUCAUGACCUGAGCUGAAGGCAGAGGCUUUAACCCACUGAGCCACCCAGGUGCCCCGAUUUACAAUAUUAUUGAGGGCAAGAAGAUGACCCUGGCGCUGAGAAGCCUGGAGAAAAGUGAACAAGCCAGAAUUUUUGGCCAAAAAUCCGACAACUAGAAGAUCAAACACAUUAUUUUCUGGAUCGGCCCAAAGAUGAAACAUCCUGGAAAAACACAUCACAUUCAACCUUGGACCCGAGAUGGGAACGCUAAGUGCUUUGAAGCAAGUAGAUUUAAUUUGGAUGCCGGAAGGCCCUGCCGAGCUACGCAUACAUUGGACGAUUCUCAGGGAGCAAACAGUGGUCUCACGUGGAAAAUGAGGUCACUCUUGAAUUGGCACUACCCGCAGAUACUGGAGAGGGACUGUUGCUUAUUAAUAAAACUGACCAAAAUUUUAACCAAAAAAAUCCAAGUUUGGCUAUUCCCCCCCCUUUUUUUUAAUUGGUGAGCCAGUAUUGAUACACCGUUAUGAAUGCCAGUGCAUUUCUUCUGUACAUUUAUCAUGUACAUUUAUCAGGAUCAGCUGGACGUGGCUCUGUACCCAGCUCCACAGGCCUCGGUACCCAUCCCUCCCCCAGUGCCACACGUGCCCCAGGACGACAGGAGCAGGUCUUAGUACCGGGUAGAAGGAGCCUCUCACUUCAUUCUCCUUCUUCAAGAUUGAUUGAUUGUUUAUUUAUUUUUUAGCUAUUCUAGGGCCUAUCCUGUGCAUAUUAGUUUAAGAACAAGUUUAUCUGUGUCUACUAAAAUUCUUUGAGAUUUUGAUGGGAAUUGCAUUAAACUUUUAGAUUAA